This 10992-nucleotide long non-coding RNA is filed under the name Triticum aestivum (bread wheat). RNAcentral's name for it is "long non-coding RNA (TAES_LNC018108)". The record is from RNAcentral. Lineage: Eukaryota; Viridiplantae; Streptophyta; Magnoliopsida; Poales; Poaceae.
GCUCGGAUUCACGAGGAGGCUUGAAAAGAUAUGCCCAGCCGUACACGAGGUUGGGCAUUUGCUCUGGUGCUAGAAGCCCAGAUAGCAGCUGGAGAUCGACGAACUCCGAUCCCUCCUAGUGCGGCGGCACACAGCAGAUCUAAGGUAUGAAUUUCUCCCCGUAGUGUUUACAUCGAACUAGUUGAGGAAUCCAGUCCGAGCCGCAGGAGCUAUCCUGCAGUGACUGCCAUCGCCGUUUUUCUCGCCCGACGGGGUCAUGCUCCCGUUCGCUUUCUUAAUCUGAGCAAUGAGUUAGCAAUUUCGUUGUGAAUCAAUCGAUAAUAUCUAAGCAUGCACACCAGCUCAUGUGACGUAGAUAAAGAACUUGAUUUCCUAGAUUAUCCUUUGCCCAUUGCAGCGCGCAAGGAGCUGUCAAAAUAAGGCGGCAGGGGAUCUGUGCUGACGAGUGUUUUCUCUUCUGAUUACAGGAAUCUUUUUUUUACGCUGGCAUUUUUUGGCAGCAGGAUGGAUGGUAAUUACCUGCUGCCCACUGCUCUGAAUGGCUGGAACACUAGCGACGUCGACGGAAGCAGGGACGAUGGCUCCUGCAAACACGCUUUCAGUCGGAACAGCGCUAACGUGGUUGCUUGCCCUGCUUGCACGACGAUCUCCAGACGGAUCCAGCCCCUUGUUACAAUGAAACCCGAACUGCGUUGCUGGUUGUAGAGAAGGGGGAGGCGAAGGCUAAGGGGAGAAAUGUUAUGACUGAAAAUCCUUAGAAGCAAAAACAAUAAAGCCGGGCAGCCACCUCUUGGACGCUGGCCUUGAUGCCUUUGAUGCUUUCUGAACUGUGGAUGUUUGGUUGUAGCUUGAGGUUUCAUGCAUCUGGUUGACUCGACUUGGGGCCUGACAAUGUACCUCCUUCCAACCACAGGACCAAUGGAGAUGCUGCCUGCCUCCUCACAUUAAUGGAGGCUGCUACUAGACUGUUAUCUUUGCUACGGCCAUCCGAUCAGUGCCGCGAUGCGGGCGAACACACGUGGCGUUGACAUCGGGAGGUCUCUCUGGAACAUAGGAGACGGAGACGCCAGCCGGGGAGGCGGCGAGCGAAUCCUUUCGCCGGCGGCUGCAGUGGAGGUUGCCCGGAGCUGGCGACGGCGCCAUCCCGUCCCAGAGCUCGAGUGGAGACACUCAUGGCGGCUUGAUCUGUAAGUGCUCCAUCUGUAGCUAGCUAGCUAGGGUUCCUGCAACGAAAGGAUUUCGUCCACCAUUAGGUUGUGAGUGUUCAGGACCAAGAUGGAGUCUGCAUUUUUUUAAUCUGACAUCCACUUGAUGUGCCACUUCCUAGUUCAGACAUACGAAGACAAAAGCUUCCCGAUCUCUCUGUGCAUACACUCACUUUUAUACAGGAUUAAGUUCAGGUAGAUGAUUGAUCUCGUGUCGGCUGUGCGGUACUAGCUUUUUGUAGUUCCAUUCAUCCGGAAAACGAAAUACGUAGGAAAGAACAGCAGAAAUAAACUCGGCAAAAUAUAGGAACAUAGUAUCACAUUGUCAACAACACAGAGACAUAUGAUUCUGUAAGUGAAUCAAGGACCACGGUAAAAGUUAUGUGAAAUUCAGAGACAUUGCAGUCGAUUGACCUGGAGAAAAUAUAUAUUGUGCCCAACAAUACAUUUUUUUAGGGAUAACAAUACAUUACAUGGUGAACUUUGUUACAGCAGAAAGCCACCAAAUUGACAUGAGAACAGAAUCAUGUAUUAUUAGAAGCCAAAGUACAGAGAGGAGGAACUUGCUGGAAGCAUUUCAUUAUCUUCAGGAGACAGAGUCCAUAGCUCUAGCAGCCUCUCUGCUACACCCUGCAGCAACACCUGAGUAUCCAAUCCAGUCCACCAUUAGAAACUGAUAAGACAAUGUACAUUACAGGUUCCUAAUAGUGCAAAAUAAAGCCACUAGUCCAACAACCAUCAAAUUUCUAACAUCUCCAGUAAUCUUCAGAAAUUGAACCAAACAAACCAUUAGAAGAAACAUGAAAAAUAACUGAAGGUUCAUUGUGCACUUAGUCACAUUCUACAAAGUUUGUAAACAGGGUGCAAAAGGAACAAGUGGUCCACAGUUUCUGUAGCACUACAAAACAUAGAUAUAUUUGAAGAAGCUAAACGAAGCUAAACUUUACAGCUCAUGCAUCACUGAAAGAAAUACGAUUGAUCUCAAUAUUCAGUGUGCCCUUAACCAUACGCCACAAAUAUUCAGCUUCCAUAUCACUUGUUCCCAUGAAUAGAUUUUUUUAGCUCAAGACUAUUACUGCUUCUUCCUAACUGAAAAUCCAUAGAAGCAAAAACAAGAAAGCUGAAAACGUGGCGCAAUUCAUUGCAUCCGGAUGGACGGUGGGGUUCAGAGGGAGGCGCAGUUGGACGGCGCCGUGCAUCAUAGGCAAUUACUCACGUACGUUUUUUGGGGGGCUGCAUUCAACGGGACUUUCCCAGCUGCAACAUAAAAGAGCCAUCCAAACGCAUCCAGUCAUCGCGCCAGACGGUGCCGAACCUUGCAUACUGCGUUAACCAAUACCAAAAAUGGCAGGUUUCAACACCAGCACGAGGGCAACGCAGCAUGGAACUCUUGCUAAAAAUGACUGGAAGUAGACCCUGUAGCUGAUUACCGAAAAUGGUUCCUGUCGCCCUCUGCCGUAGAAGAAAGGAGCCGCUGCUAUCGCCCUCAAAUGCACUGACAUGUCAGCCGCUAGGCUUCCAUACAGGGUGUACGCUAGCAUAAAGUACCGCUCAGACCUUUCCUCUUCGGUCAUGGCGAAAAUCAAAAAUUCAGAAAUUCGGAACCUUAUCCACAAAAAGCGCGGAUCUCAAAGAGCAUCAACGGUUCCGAUAGCACACACUCUAGUUGCUGUUGAAAGCAAAUCCAUGCUCUAUAUACAUAUAUACAUAUAUACAUCUGGGCUAUUCUGUUACUCUACUUGAACUGACGGUUUCAGGCGGUUGUACUGAUGAUUUUCAUCUCGUCGAACUAAUCAUCAUCUCGUUCGAAUGGGGCGUCUAAUAUACUAUUGGAAAGCUCUUGACAGCUACAUUACAAGUCAUAUAAGAAUUUUUGCAAAAUCAUCACGGUUUAAGAGCAGUUUAAAAAAAAUCAUUUUUUCAAAACAAAAAACGUGAAUCAUAUUUUGGACUUAAUUUUCAAACGGUUAGUCGGAAUUGAGCAAAUAAGAUGGCAUUGGAAAGCUGGUGAAAAUCCGCUUCUUCCAUAUAUCUAAUGUUUUUUCAAAUCAUAUACAAUUUAAAAGUAAUUUGAAAAACGGUGAAAUUUUGGGCGAAAUGUAUUUUUUGCGUUUUUUUGUAAACGAUUUGUCGGAUUGGUGCAAAUGAUACGACGUUGGAAAGCUACGGAAAAUGUGCAACUUUUUCGUACAGAAAAGGUUUUCUAAUUCCUUAUGGUUUAAACUCGAAUUCAAAUACGGUCAAAUUUGAUUUCGAACGCGGUUUUUUUUAAGUUUGUCGAAAUGGGGCAAAUAAUAUACCGUUGGAAAGCUAUCAAAAAUGUGAAACUUAGUCGUGUUGAAUGUUUUCUCAAAUUCGGAAUCGUUGAAGAGUAAUUUUGAAUAUGGUGAGAUCUAUCGUGCUGUUUUUCGGUCUAAAAAACAGAAUACUCGUACUGAUCUAUGUGUGUGUUUGUACUGAGAUAUUUUUCACAAAGUAGUUUUGAACACGGUGAGACUGGUUGUGCUGUAUUUUCUAUUUCGAAAACAUAGCACUCGAACUGAUCUCCGUACGGGUUUUGGGUUUGUACUGAGAGUGUGUUUUCACAGACUCGACUUUACGAUGUUUUUUCGGUACAUUUGCAUGUAACUUUUCAAUGAUUUACUGUAUCAUCGUCCCCAAACUUGCUUGGUUUAUAUCGUUGAACUGGAUGAUAUUUUUUCAUCAGUUUACUGCCCAUUUUUUCCACCACACUUGUGAGAGUCAUUAAUAGGUUUACUUACUGGGCAGUAACACAUGAACUCCUCAGGCAAUAAUACAUGAACUACUAGGUAUAUAAUUUUUCAUCGAGCACUUGAAAACAUAAAACAUUACACAAAGAGAAGAACUGAACAAUGCAUGUGAAAAUAACUCCCACAUCCAUCAUAUACUAGGAGCUUCCACUUGAAUAGGAAAAUUUGUUUAUCCCUCACAGAUUAAAACACAAAACCUGAAGAAAAGAAGUAUUGGUUUCUCAUUGACAUAAGAACAAACAGGAGUACAAAAUCAUAGCUUUUCGCCAAUGUCAGCAUGGUGCAUCGUUGCAUUUUUCUCGUUGUUGUUGUCGUCUUCCUGGACUAUUGAAAGUGUUCUUCCUGGUCAUUUAUUGUCAUGGCCAAUAACGCCUAAAAGUCCUUUUCCAGGUCUCCACUCUACCGAAAUCUCUAAACCAUUAAAAUCAAUAGAUUUACACAAAGAAUAUAGAAAUGCACGAAUGAAUCUCCUUCUCAAGAUCAGUGAUGAAGGAUGCAAUAAAUAUCAUUGACCAAAUGCCAAAGCAUAGAAUAAAUGAGAGCAGAAAUAAAACAACGCCUUAGUUUUCCCAGGUUUCUUCGUAAUCCACAUUGGUUUUUUUCCUCGUUGAAUUUUUCUUCCUCUGAAGUUAUGGUCUUUUUGAUUCUGAAUUGAUGAUAGACCAUUUUUUGCUAAACUGUCACACAUUUCUAGAGUGGUGGAGAAGGAGCUCAUGUCACUACUAAAUCAAUGGUAUUAGAAGUUCAUGGAAUAUAAGUAAAACAAACUAACUGAUUGUCAAGUGCUCCUAUGAACUAAAUUUAAAUUAGAAAUUAAACAGAACUUAAUUUUUCAAGUGCUCCUAUGGGUAGUACACACACAACCUGACAAGGCAAUGUACAACUUCAUGUAAAAAAGAACAACCAAGUUCACAUACAGUAAACAUUAUAAGUUCACAAAGAAACCUAAAAAGAGUUUUGUACUAUAUCUGCUAUAGCAACUAUAACAACCAAGUUAAUGUACGCCAUGGGGUCGGACUGGGAGGACGCAGCGGAUCCUGGAGUGGUGUACAGAGAGCUCAUGUCACUACCACAUCAAUUAUGGUACUAGAAGUUCAUGGAAUAUAAGUAAAACAAACUAAUUGAUUUUUAAGUGCUCCUAUGAACUGAACCUAAAUUAGGAAUUGAACCGAACUUAAAUGGUGGAAACUUAGGGUAAACCAGUCAGUUUAUACGAACUAGUUCUGCUUGAACUGAUGUCUGCGUUCUACUUGGACGGCUGCCAGUCACCAUGGUGGACGAGCUCGUGGCCAAGUGCGACCAAGGCGACCACCGGGAACUGUAGGUGUUUGUGCUUCUUCUCAGCAGUGACUCACACAAGGUGGACGUGAUUAGGGGAAGCACGGUUCACGGGUGGCCUUCAUCUUGCCGCCGGAUACGGGCUGCUCGCGCUCGUGGACGCCGUCGACCGGACGCGGGGCAGCACCACUCGUGGACAGAGAUCAAUAGAAGCUUUUCCAGCAAAGCAUUCUCUAAUGCAAAUCUUCCUAGCAACCUCAUCCAAUGCCACAAAUGCAUUAGCUCUGGUUUUAGUUGAAACUAAAUUUAGAUGAAAUGUGAGAAAAGCUAUUAGGAGGAUAAGAAACCAGUUCCAAACAAGAAAAUAAACAAGUACAAGCACGAGUAUAGCAAGAGGAGUUGCUGGCAUGUUUAUGUGAAUGCGUAUGUUUGUUCAGUACACCAUGUUUAUGUUGUUCAGUACACCAUGCUUAAGUUGUUCAUUACACCAUGUGAUGGAGCUACAAACUCUUUUUCUCUCUGAAACAAGCAAGAUUCACACAAACAUCCUACAUUUCUAGCAUCAGAAGUAACUUGUCAUGAACUGACAGAUUUACACAAGUAGACCAACCAAUGGAGAAAUCUACUAACCGUUUAAAAGAAUCAGUAAUUUGGUACGCGUUGGGGAUUCAUGUGUUUCGUUGUACUGAAUUUAAUAACCAAAAUGUAGAUUUAUACAAAAAAUAUCCAAAAAGAAGUGUAAUCACCUAGGUGGAAUAAAGUUGAAGCCGACAGCCAUGGACUGCUGGUCGCGAUGAACUCGACCACCCUGAUGCCAUGGGGUUGGACUGAGGACGGCACACAUACGCCCUUGACGAUGGAAGAGAGCGCGGGAGACUACAACUACCAGCACUACAAAAACACACAUCGACUCUGUAGGCAGAGACUACAACACACACACCCAUUCCUGAAUUGCAAAUUUGCAAUACAUAUUUACAUACUACAUCGAGGUGAUAUGUCUGUACUUACAAACUUUAUGUAGGUGAACUCAUGAUUUUUCUUUUUGAACUUUGUUUCUUUUUUCUCCGAACUGAUACAAACUUCCACCACGUACUUGUGCGAUUUUAUUUUCGAACAACACAAGAGAAGAGCUUUAUUUACAUCGUCGAUACAUGUCCAACCAUUUCAUUUCUGGAAAGCAAGCAAACAUCUUUGUCCUAUUUAUAUAACCCAACCCUUUUUUGUAGAAGUGAAGCACAUAAUAGAGCAAAAACUAGAAGCUGGAUCGUGAAUAGUAUUAGAAGUUUAGUGCACACAUAAGAAAAAAUAGCAAAUACGAGUAUGGGGCAGCAGCAGUACGGAUGUGUAAAAGUUCUAGAAUUUGAAUAAAAAAUGAAGUAGCUUGAUCUGGUAAGUACUACCGUAACUAGAUACAUGUAAAAGUUAAGUGACAACAAGUUCAAAAGAAAUUCAGAAAAUCAAACCGAAUUGAUGGGCUUACUUCAUGCAUUAAAUUUUACACCAUAGCGUCUUGUCUAGAUGUACAUGACGGAGCCGGCGGGCUGCACGUCGAGCCACGCUGUGCAGAGAACUGGUGUCGAAUGAUUCAGUCUCGGCAGGCUGGGAGCAUGCCAUUGCUGCAAUCAGAAAUUUUUACCAUUGAUUUCUGAACAAUAGGUACAAGAAUCACCAAAAGUUGUACUAAAGCUCUAGGAAUUUUAGCUCAAAUAACAAACGCGUUUAAGUUCGGAGAUGAAACAUAGUUGAAUGUUCUUCAGUGUGAUUUUCUGCAUAAGGACAAUCGCAGAAGCAACAUAGUUGGACUGAAGCUCUAGUGACAUAGUUGAACUUAGGAAAUUUUCUGCCGGCCGGCCCUAUGAACAACUUACCAUUGAUAAACAAUGCCCAGCCUCACCGCUAGCGUUCUUCAAGUUACAUUUAAGAGGAGCCAAAUUUUUUGUUCUGUUAGCAUUGACGAGAGCUAAAGUAAUUACAGUUAUCCUAACCAGCAUAUGCUCAAACAAGUUGAAGUUUCUUUUACUUGGGAACAACUUCAAUUCAGGUGUCUCUCACAUAAAUAAAUUUUAGUUUAGGCUUAAGAGACAGUCAGUCUCUGUUAACUGAAAACAACUCAAGUUUAACAUGGCACAUAUCCUAGAGAUACAUGCUUCUCAAGCCUGAACAAAGGCAAAAAAUUUGAUUUUUCAAUGCAUUGUAGGCAAGAACGGAUCCGAGUCAGAACUGAUACAAUUUAUUCCAUCGAACUACUAGAAAGUUUCUCUAUACUGUUACGUUUUUAACACAAAAGUAUUGAACUGUUUGCUGCCUUUCCAUUAUGAAUUGAUGGCGUAAUACAUGUUGAACUGUUACCCAAGAGCAAAAUUCAGAAAAACAUAUAUAUUGGCGCACUCCAAAUAUGUGCAUUUUCAGGAACAAAACUUUCUGAACCUUCUAUACGAAAGAACUUGAACAAUCGGUCCAAAACAUAUUUGAAGUUUUUUUUUUAGAAAAGGAGGACGACCCCCGGCCUCUGCAUCUGGACGAUGCAUACGGCCAUUUUAUUAAUUAUUGACACAAGACCUUACAGAGUCAUACAACAAUAAGCCUAAAGCCACCAAACUAAGCAACAUCUGUCGCUAUCCCUAUCCAAUUGAUGUAGGGGCGCUGAAAGUCUUGGCCUAAUACCAAACAGACCUCGCAGCCAAACCUAACAUCUAAGACUUGAGGUCCCAACCAGGACGCCUGCCGGGUAUGGGCACCCAUCAGUCUGGCGUGCUUCUCAACCAGGACGCCUGCCGGGUAUGAGGCCGCCGCAGCCACCUGCCACCAAUCCAUCUUCAGAGCUGUACUGCUGCAUCAACCUUGCCCGGUCUAACUGCCGCCGACGCCACCACGACGCCACCGCUCAUCAGGCGCCGAGUCUCCACUGCGCCACGCCGCCGAGAUCCGCCGUCAACAAUGGAGCAGAGGAAACACCACUCCUCAAGUUGAACGAUCAUUUUCCUUACUGAGUGUUAAGGAAAAUGAAACAAGAGACGAGCUCGCCGGAGAACUUGGACUGAAGAACUUGCACAUGGCGAGCUGCGGGGGGUAAGGGAGGGCGGUAGUGCGCGGUGUACUAAGGCGGCGAAUGGAAGUGGAAGUAGGGGAGAACAUCAUUAUCUUAGGACUUUAUCCUGUUUUCAACACUAGUACACAGUCCCUGUACGUGCUAUUCUCCCAUAGGCAUUAACACAAGCACCAUGUGUUUUAGGAAGAACUAGGCACUUGAAUCAGAAUAGACAUUGAAGAAACUCGCUGCAAAACAUUACUUAUUUAGGUGAUAUGCGUAAACUUACAGAAUUUUGAAACAUGAACUGAUGAUAUUUUUGCACACGCACCAACUAGUUUGUAUUUUUUCAUGAACUGACGAUAGAAUACACACCAAACUAAUAUUAAGUUUAUUAAAGAAAUUCUCUAUUCAUGAACUGACAAUAUUUAUUCUUUGUGGACUGAAGAAAAGAGAACAAAAAUACACAUGGAACUAGCGAUAGAAUACACACUAAAGAAAAAAGAAUUUCUUCUUUGUGAACUGACGAAGGUUUUUUCAUGGCAGGCAGUACAAGAAUGACUAGGAAAAAAAGAAAAACAGAGAAUUUAGUGGCCAAAAUCACUGUAAUAACUAGUGGCAGUCUCUGUGGUUUACCUCCUAUUUGCAUACCACACAGAUGGGUCUGUUGCUAGCUAUAACUGUAGAGAGAGAGAGAGAGAGAGAAGAAAUUGGCAAAAAUAUAUUGUUUCUCUCUCUGCUCAGACAUUCCACACAAACAGGCCAACUGCACAAGUUGAACUGAUCUUGUCCAUGACACGAACAGGGGCUAGUGCUGCUGCUGUACGUGCACGAGAUUCAUGAGAGAUUCAACGGGAGAAGGGUGGAGCUAGUUUUCAAGUAAGGAUAUGCACAAAGAACUUGGCAAGCAAGUCUGAGAAGCAAAAUAAGUUCUAGUUGGCUAACACAAGAAACAAGUGAAACCAUAUACUUGCUACUCUUUCCAAAGAGGUAGUAACAUUGAAUCAUUCUUGUAGAAAGAUAUCUAGAUCAGAAGUUGAGCAAGGAUAUGCUUUUUGAAGUAGUAUCUAUAGUAAUUUGCUACCUUGCUUUUAGGACACAAUACAGUAUUUGAAAACUACCUCCAAGUUACCAAAUUGAAAGGUUGUAACGACGAUACCUUAUAAUAGAUGAAUUGUAUGGUUGAAACAGAGACAACUAAAAGAAUAGGAAUACACGGCCAACCUUGCCAUUGAUGAUAGACUUGCUUGUUGCACAUUCCUCCUCCGAUUGUUGUCGGAUUUUGAGCAGCAAAUGAUCGAACUCCCCACUGAAACAUACAUAAGAAAACAUUUUCAACACCUAAUUCAGUAGAGAUGUCUCUCCAAGGAAACCAUGUUCCCCCUAAGCAACAGACGAACAAUGUAUAAUUUUGUAUAUCUAAAGAACGAAAUUCGGAUGGUGAUAACACCAGCGCUUCCCAAUUUGCACCCCUAAAAUGACUCCAUUCUCUUAGCUGAGAAGAACUCACCCUGACCAGUGGGCGGAGCGGCCACUGAUGACAGAGAAGCUCGAGCAAGAGUACAGCGGCCUCGUGGGCACCGACGAGUAGAGGAAGUGGACCUGCUACCCCUUACUCCUACGGACUGACGGCUGCGGCGAAGUGUAGCUGAUGGAGGAGGGGAUCACGAGCAGGGCCGGGAUGGUCGGCGCUGGAACUCGUGGGGAAGGGGUCAUUGGCGUGCGGGGGAUCCGGGGCUGGUGGCAUGCUUGAUAUCCGCAGCCGGUCGGCUGGUUAGCUUGCUGGGCGACGGCCGCGGUGGGAGGUGGGGACGGCGGCCGCGGCAGGAGGUGGGCAUGGCGGCCGCGGCAAGAGGUGGAGCGUGAUACCUUCAUUUUGCAUCAUGCUUUUAUAUUAAUAUUUAUUACAUUACGAGCUAUUAUUACACAUUUUGUUACAAUACUUAUGUCUAUUCUCUUUUAUUUUACAAGGUUUACACGAAGAGGGAGAAUGCCGGCAGCUGAAAUUCUGGGCUGGAAAAGAAGCAAAUAUUAGAGACCUAUUCUACACAACUCCAAAAGUCCUGAAACUUCACGGAGGCACGUUUUGGAAUUAAUAAAAAAUACUGACGAACGAAUCAACCGAAGGGGGGCCACACCCUGGCCACGAGGGUGGAGGGCGCGCCCUACCCCCCUGGGCGCGCCCCCUGCCUCAUGGGCCCACUGGCAGGCCUCCGCUGUCCAUCUUUUGCUAUAUGAAGUCUUUCGCCCUAGAAAAAAUAAGAAGGAAACUUUCGGGACGAAGCGCCACCGUCUCGAGGCGGAACCUAGCGAAACCAAUCUAGGUCUCCAGCGUAGCUGUUCUGCCGGGGAAACAUCCCUCCGGGAGGGGGAAAUCAUCAGCAUCAUCAUCACCAUCGAUCCUCUCAGCGGGUGGGGGGUCAAUAUCCAUCAACAUCUUCACCAACACCAUCUCCUCUCAAACCCUAGUUCAUCUCUUGUAUCCUAUCUUUGUCUCAAAACCUCAGAUUGGUACCUGUGGGUUGCUAGUAGUGUUGAUUACUCCUUGUAGUUGAUGCUAGUUGGUUUAUUAGGUGGAAUAUCAUAUGUUCAGAUCCUUUAUGCAUAUUAAUACUCCUCUGAUUAUGAAUAUGAAUAUGAUUUGUGAGUAGUUACGUUUGUUCCUGAGGACAUGGGAGAAGUCUUGCUACAAGUAGUCAUGUGAAUUUGG